GAUGAACGCUAGCUACAGGCUUAACACAUGCAAGUCGAGGGGAAACGGCAUUUAGUGCUUGCACCGAAUGGACGUCGACCGGCGCACGGGUGAGUAACGCGUAUCCAACCUUCCCAUAACUAAGGGAUAACCUGCCGAAAGGCAGACUAAUACCUUAUGUAAUCCUUUGAUGGCAUCAGAUAAGGAUAAAAGAUUUAUCGGUUAUGGAUGGGGAUGCGUCUGAUUAGCUUGUUGGCGGGGUAACGGCCCACCAAGGCAACGAUCAGUAGGGGUUCUGAGAGGAAGGUCCCCCACAUUGGAACUGAGACACGGUCCAAACUCCUACGGGAGGCAGCAGUGAGGAAUAUUGGUCAAUGGACGGAAGUCUGAACCAGCCAAGUAGCGUGCAGGAAGACGGCCCUAUGGGUUGUAAACUGCUUUUGUAUGGGGAUAAAGUCAAUCACGUGUGAUUGUUUGCAGGUACCAUACGAAUAAGGACCGGCUAAUUCCGUGCCAGCAGCCGCGGUAAUACGGAAGGUUCGGGCGUUAUCCGGAUUUAUUGGGUUUAAAGGGAGCGUAGGCCGGAGAUUAAGUGUGUUGUGAAAUGUAGACGCUCAACGUCUGACUUGCAGCGCAUACUGGUUUCCUUGAGUACGCACAACGUUGGCGGAAUUCGUCGUGUAGCGGUGAAAUGCUUAGAUAUGACGAAGAACUCCGAUUGCGAAGGCAGCUGACGGGAGCGCAACUGACGCUGAAGCUCGAAGGUGCGGGUAUCGAACAGG
RNAcentral lists this ribosomal RNA (761 nucleotides) under Prevotella melaninogenica. RNAcentral describes it as "bacterial SSU rRNA". It matches the Rfam family "Bacterial small subunit ribosomal RNA", at positions 28 to 776 of the family's 1533-position model. Lineage: Bacteria; Pseudomonadati; Bacteroidota; Bacteroidia; Bacteroidales; Prevotellaceae. The record is from RNAcentral.